RNAcentral lists this long non-coding RNA (2512 nucleotides) under Malus domestica (apple). Its description in RNAcentral is "long non-coding RNA (MDOM_LNC002893)". Lineage: Eukaryota; Viridiplantae; Streptophyta; Magnoliopsida; Rosales; Rosaceae. The record is from RNAcentral.
AGAUUGAAAAAUAAAAAGAUUAAUUAAAUUCGAAAUUAAUUUAAUAAAUUAAAAAAAAGCUAAUUAUUGAAUUUAAUUAUUAGAACUCAUCUUUUGAUAAUUAAUUAGAUAUUAAAUAUAUAAUUAUUAUUAAAUAAUUAUCACACCCCAAAGCCCAAAUCCAAGGUUGAGCACAAUUUUGCUCUCAAUGGUUUAUCACUCCAAUCAUUUUAUAAGAGGUACAAAGUCUUAUAAAGUGAAGGAAUCUUUUGGUGGUGACUAAUGUGAGACAAUGAGUUAGAAUGAUAUCUCUACUCAAAAACUCCAACACACGUCAAUUAAUGAGUUUUCUGAUUGGAUGUUGAUUAUACUAAUCACUUGCCACAUCAUAUAGUAUACUAAUGUGAUCUUCCUAGCAUUAUUCAUUCACAAAUAGGUUUCUAUUUUGAUGUACAAGGUUUAUAGACGAACUAAACAAUUUGUACAAGUUUUAGAUGAAACAAUUAAUUGCCAUGAAGAGUCGGGAAAGAAGGUGUUCGUGGCUAGAAUUUCCGUUGAGGAUGUUUCCUAGCGGACGAGCACACAGCUCCCCGAGAGGUUGGCGCCAAUUGAUGCUUUCUGUCUAGCUUCUGCUCACUGGCGGGCUUGUCGGGCAAAUCUUGUCGAGCAAGGCUUGUCGGGCAAAGCUGAAAGAGAAUGACAUGGUUAACUUUGAAAGGUGCCAUUGUAGGGCCUUAGGUGUAGGCCUUGAGGCUCACAAUCAAGAUUAACUUUUAGGUGUUCAGGCGUGCCACUGCCAUCUUUAGCAUAGUAGAUGUAAAACAGAUGUUGAGUUUUAAUUGUAUAUAUACCUGAGAGGCUGUUUUAGUUAUGAAAGGUGCCUUUGUGGGGCCUCAGGUGUAGGCCUUGAUGCUCUCAAUCAAUAACUAACCCAGUACUCGAACAUAUAAUGUUUGUUUCAUUAAUUGCAGAAGUGUUAUGACUAUUAUACUUCUAAUUACCCAAGCCCAAAGAGCAGAAUGAAUCCAAAUAGGUGCCUUUGUAGGGCCUUAGGUGUAGGCCUUGAAGCUUCCCAUCAGAAUUACUUCUAUACUCAAACGUUCUACAAUAAUCAUAAUAUAACAAAAAUAAAACUAAGAAAUAGGUCGAUUACUUGCGCCCCAAGUAACUUCGGACUUCUUGUUAUCAAAGGUUGUCGUGGAUGGGUUAAGUCCACAUAAGGUUCUUUUUUAUGCCUUGAGACCAAGGACUUUUGAAUGAUCAAUCUUACAUGCCCGAGGGUUUAGAACUUAGAUCUGAUUUAAACUGUGACUACAUAUUCCAAUCGGAUUCAAGCACUGAGGAGUCUUUUAAUCAUCAACUUGCUAGAACUAACUUGGAUACAAAUGGAAGUAUACAACAUAUUACUAGACUUAUGAAUGAAAAGACAAAAACAAAGAGGGUCGGGCAAGGUUUCACCUUGUCGGGCAAGACUGGUCGUCUUGCAACUUCCUAUCUUUGUGAUUUAUAGAGGGGCUUGAGAGCUUAGAAAGAGGGAUAGGGAGAUGAGUUUACAGAAGGAAAUCGAUACUACAGUAAGAUUUAGACAAGGUAACAGAGCUUUUACAAAGGCUUUUGGUGAGGGUUGAUCCCGAAAGGGAUGAAGGCUUGGGCUGACUACAGCUUCAUUGAAAGCAAAUCUGGCUUGAGCAGAGUUUGUGCUUGUAUUUGUUUGGCUGUUUGAGUGUCCUCAUCUCUGAUUUCUCUUUCUUCUUUUAUAGACAGUUUGGCUUGGCCUCCUGUAGCUUUAAUCUUGCCCGAAUGCAGCUUGAAGGGCAAUGACUCAUCAGUUUUUUACUUAUACUGCCACUGUAAAGUGCUUUUGGGCUAAUUAGCUGGCUGGUCUACACCACUUAGUCUCUAGGUAGGUGAACAAGUGGUUCAAAUGAUCUGCACCUAGUCGGGAAAAUGCCUUUUCUACCUUCUGGGUUUUUGCUGGGCUUCGGGCUCCUUUCCUCCUAGUCCUUCUUUUGGGCCGACUCCCUUUUUAGCUCAAAGUUCAAGUUUUAACCCAAACAAAAGGAACGUAUAAUUAAGUGGUUACAUGCUGUGGGUAGGUUUAUUGUUGAAUUUUGGAGACUUUAGGUUCCUCUGUGAUAGAAGAUGAAGUCUUGACUAUCACGGAGAUAUGUCUCCAUGUUCCCUUACGGAAGCUUGGGUAAGAAGAGAUUUUCAAGUUGUACGAAUAUUUGAGACCAGGUUAUUAAGAAGUGGAUUACAAAAUGUUAGCUGGAGGAUAUUAGAAAUGCGAAAAAUGCCUUCUAGGUUAUGUUUGGGUGAGUGAUUUAAAAAAUUCAGGGGAUUGAGGGAAGGAAAUUUUGUGAAAAACAUGUUCAUUUAAGCAACAUCUAUAGCAUGCAAUUAACAAAUUAAAGGCGGAAUCAUGCUUGCAUGCACUCAAAACAAAACAUUACCCAUAAAAUUCAAAGCCUAGUAGUUAGGUGAACCAAGACUCAACUCAAAAGAAAGUGAGUUGAGAAAUUUAUACCUUUGU